RNAcentral lists this ribosomal RNA (418 nucleotides) under bacterium. Its description in RNAcentral is "partial 16S ribosomal RNA". It matches the Rfam family "Bacterial small subunit ribosomal RNA", at positions 355 to 775 of the family's 1533-position model. The record is from RNAcentral.
UGGGGGAUAUUGCACAAUGGGCGAAAGCCUGAUGCAGCGACGCCGCGUGGGGGAUGAAGGCCUUCGGGUUGUAAACUUCUUUUGCUCUGAACAAGGCGCACCAUGGGGUGUGUUGAGUGUAGGGGUUGAUUAGCGCCGGCUAACUACGUGCCAGCAGCCGCGGUAAUACGUAGGGCGCGAGCGUUGUCCGGAAUUAUUGGGCGUACAGGGCUUGUAGGUGGCUGGUUGCGUCUGUCGUGAAAGCAAAUGGCUUAACUGUGGGUUUGCGGUGGGUACGGGCUGGCUAGAGUGCAGUAGGGGAGGAUAGAAUGCCUGGUGUAGCGGUGGAAUGCGCAGAUAUCAGGAGGAAUACCGGUGGCGAAGGCGGGUCUCUGGGCUGUUACUGACACUGAGGAGCGAAAGCAUGGGGAGCGAACAG